RNAcentral lists this ribosomal RNA (475 nucleotides) under uncultured bacterium. RNAcentral describes it as "bacterial SSU rRNA". It matches the Rfam family "Bacterial small subunit ribosomal RNA", at positions 8 to 475 of the family's 1533-position model. The record is from RNAcentral.
AGAGUUUGAUCAUGGCUCAGAUUGAACGCUGGCGGCAUGCUUAAUACAUGCAAGUCGAACGGUAACAGAUUCUUCGGAAUGCUGACGAGUGGCGGACGGGUGAGUAAUACAUAGGAAUCUGCCCAUGUAGUGGGGGACAACUUGGGGAAACUCAAGCUAAUACCGCAUAAUUCCUACGGGAUAAAGAGGGCCACUGCUUGCAAGCUCUUGCUACUGGAUGAGCCUAUGUCGGAUUAGUUAGUUGGUAAGGUAAUGGCUUACCAAGACAGCGAUCCGUAGCUGGUUUGAGAGGAUGAUCAGCCACACUGGGACUGAGACACGGCCCAGACUCCUACGGGAGGCAGCAGUAGGGAGUAUUGGACAAUGGGCGCAAGCCUGAUCCAGCAAUGCCGCGUGUGUGAAGAAGGCCUGCGGGUGGUAAAGCACUUUCAAUUGGGAAGAAAGAUUAUGAGUUAAUACCUUAUAAUAUUGACGU